UUAGACUUUUACUUCAGAUUGUUUUCAAGGACUUGACCAUAACCCUUAAGACGGUUGGACCAUAAUCGAAUAUUGAAAAGUAGACCGGUACUGUUGCAGUAACAGUAAUUUGCGUAUGUCAUUAUUGACCGGGAUAUGGCUGCAGCCCUUAUGAGAAGGGAUUCUUUGCUCUCGAAAAACACACCAAAUUUUCUAGUGUUGGUUGGCUUACGUAUGGAUUAGCUCUGGUGGCCGCUUUCUGUUUCAAACUUAAAUUCAUUAACUGAUUUUGAAUUGUUUGGUUUGUGCAAUUGAUGAUGUUGAAAUUCUCUGAUAUUUUCAAAAUCAAACGCAUUAAUAAAUCCAAGUAAUUCUAUGAAGAGACGGAAGUGAAGGAGCACAGGAAGUACGCCGCUGUGAUUUCUCAUCCAUAAAGGAAGCGCAUAAACGCAUCAACUCACAUACACAAAACUCCGGCUCUGUCCUCGGAGUUUCUAAACGUUAGACGUCAUAGGCUUACAAAUUUGACACAGCGGAUUUGUCUUUGCACCACAUCCGAGCACAUUAACUCUCCAGAGUCACUUUUGUGUACGCUUCUUUUCACUUAAGGUUGGUUUCGUUCUGCCUUUGACACAUCUAACCCCUUUCAGGCUGUACACAGAUGGUUAAUCUUUUCUUCAAUAUCAGACACACUGUCAAUCUUAGAGCAACUUCCCACCUUUAAUAUCACUAUCAAACCGACAAUCUCGCUUUUCAUUUUACUGCCCAUGUCACAAUUAUUCCCUUUGAGCAAUGACACUUUCCCCUAAUCUACUGUGUGCUCAUCUCUCAGAGAACCAUGCCUUCAUGUCCAAAGAUUUGGCUUGCAGCACCAUAAUUGGCUAAAGGAGCGCCCACCUCUCGGGCGCCACUACGUCGUCCCCUUAAGACUCCCUGCUUCCACCCUAGUGCACGCUUAAUGGAUGUUGCAUUUCGCCUGCCAUUUGUGGUCCCCUCUCCCACCCCUCAGUGACCACUUUUUUAUGGGCUUACAGAUUUGCGGCACCCUGAGCACACAACUCUCCAGAGUCAGUCUUGCAUACACCUUUUUAGGGCUCCUGCCUAGCGAGUGACUCGAGCUUUUGAUCAAUUUGUAUAAGGAUGACCUAGUUCUUUUUUCAGUAACACACAAAACUCCACUCUAUCACACGAAUCCUAGAGCAAUUUCCCACCUUUGGCUCUUCCAAUUUUGCUGCCCAUUUUACAAUGAUUUACUUUGAGCUGUGACACUCUCCCCCACUCGAUCGUAUGCACGCUCUUAUGCACGUCUCUCGGAGAAAGUCGUCUUCAAGUCCAAAGAUUCGGUUUGCAGCACCCUACUUAGCUAAUGGAACGCCCACCUCUUGCAGAUCCAAGUGUGGUCUUUAUCUUAGAGCUUGCCAACCCCUGACAAUUCAAAAUUUCAGUUGCCCAGGGGGAUGGAUCCUGUUCAAUAGGGACCCACGGUGGUGCCACCAUGCAUCCAAGAGAGUUGGGGUUGGAGCCGCUCCUGAUUAUCAAGGAGGAUGAAACCAGUGACCUAUGCCCAAAAAGAGUGCACACAAAACUGACUCUCGACAGUUGGUGUACUAGGGCUGCUGCAUGGACAGUUCCAUUGUGCCAAAUCUGUAAGCCCAGACCUAUAUCUGGAAGGAGUCUCUUCUGUAAAUGUGAAUGUUUCCAGGAGUGGAAAAAAGAAACUAUUUUUCAUUGAAUUUCUCAAAUUUUAUCUUCAUUUUUUAUUUUUCUAAGGUGGCAUCAAAUAUUAUCUGAAAUGCUGCUACGUUCGCUCGAUGAUGAUAAAGCUGCCAAAGGAGUUGUAAUGUAACCCAUAGCAGGUUUUUACUGAGCUUAUUGGAUGCCUCGUAGUUUUAAGGUUGCGAGGGAUCGCAGCCCUCAUAGUUGUACCAAAAAAUGCUCCGAAAUGCAAAGCUGAGAAUGUUAUGCGUUAUGGUGGUCAGGUUAUAUGGCGUGAAGUCACAAUACAGUCCAGGUAGAGUGUUGGAAGGAACUUCUGCAACUCUUACACAUCCGUAUAAUGAUGGUCACAUAAUAAGCUCAAUCAAAAGCAGCUGGUAGGAUUAUAACUUUGCCUGAAACCAACGCGCUUGCUGAUGAGCUUUGUGCUUUUCUCAGAGAUCUUACCAUAAACAGCUUAUUGUCUGCUUAGCUGCAGAAACAAGUUUGUGAGGUUGUAUGCAAAUACUUCGCAGAAAUGUAACUAAUUCCUGAGAUGCUCUCUGUUUUAUAUUAAACAAUUUCAUUUUGAUGCUA
Mangifera indica (mango) is the source of this 2271-nucleotide long non-coding RNA. RefSeq lists it as uncharacterized. NCBI's taxonomy places the organism in Eukaryota, Viridiplantae, Streptophyta, Magnoliopsida, Sapindales, Anacardiaceae. The record is from RefSeq and is a predicted model, not a curated record. The transcript is spliced from 2 exons.